Molecule: long non-coding RNA, 5184 nt
Organism: Tympanuchus pallidicinctus (lesser prairie-chicken)
Lineage: Eukaryota; Metazoa; Chordata; Aves; Galliformes; Phasianidae
Exons: 2
Source: RefSeq, a predicted model, not a curated record
GGCUCUGGGGGUCGCGUGCCUCAGGGCGUCCUGUGGGAUCGGCCUCCGCGUGCGGGAAGCGCGGCGUUUGUCUGGAGCGUGCCCGCUAUCCUUGUCACGUGCCUUUUUGCAUCCCAGGGGACCGUUUGCGUUAACAAAUAGAACUGCAGAGAUUCUCGAGGAACGAAGAAGAAAAUUGCAUUGAGGUGCAGAUCCCGCGCACCGCGGUGACGGCGCGGCCUUCUCUGGGGCCUGGCGGAAGGAAGGGCCCGUUGUGAGGGAGCUGGGCUGGCGUCAUGGCCGGGCAGAGAGAGAGGCCAAGUGGCAAAGUGAGCUGCCGUGGCCGGUGUGGAGGCAGACAGCCACGGUGUAAAGGCCUCGUGCUGCCUCAGAAGGAAGAUCUGUGGCUGUUACCAGCGUGUCAGUGAGGGAGGAUGCAGCUGUUGUUACUGACAGUGUGCAAGCAGCCCUAGGAGCACCCUGUGCCCCUCAGCAGUUCCCCAGCUGCGGUUUGAAGGACCUGCUUCCAAAACGUGCUGGAGAGGGAGAAGCUGCCAGAACAGAAACAUGGAGCUGCUGAGCACCAGUCAACUGCUGUCACCAUUCUCAGCUUAAUUCAUCACCAGUGAUCCCAUGGUUAACGCAAUCCUUGUGGCUACUUAUGCCCACAGCUCAGCCUUCCAUAGUGUUACAGAAGUAAGAACUUUCUGGACAUAAUGUGUUUGGGUUUUUCUUUAAAUACCUUGAGAUCAUCAUCGUGUGUGCAUGUGAACUAGUCAUACUAGAUAUGUUCUGCUAGUAGCUAAAACACUGCUAAGAUCAGAGGAAGCUACUUUUCUGAAUGGAUGUGCGCUCAUGCACUCCUGUCUUUUCUUUCCACAAGUAAUCCUUGUUGGAGUAGUUUUUUGUUAUUCCGUUAGCACAAGAAUAUCUAUCUGAACAAGGCCUCUUGGACACCAGAGCUUUGACUCCCCUCUUCUGUGUAUGUAAAGAGAGAUUGCUUUGAUUUUCAAAGCAGUGUGAAACAGAAAGUGCUUUGUCCCAGCCAGAAAUAGUAAUUCCUUAUACACAGCUUUUUCAACAACACAUUUCAGAAUGCCCCCUCUUGUCUCAGGACAAGCCAGAACUGACUCUGGGAACUAGUUAUCACAGCCCUUGGAACAAGUAUCCUGUUGAAGUACUGAUAUGGAGAAGGCAAGUUGAAGACUUGAGAGUAUUUUUGUAGGAUAAAGGAAUUGAUGAAUGAGUUCUAAUUGGGGAGUUUAUAAUAGAAUACAGUUGUAGAGUUAUGUUUUUUGUCAGUUCUGAGAAAACAAGGAUAUCUGAGAAGAGGAAGUCCAAUAACUAUGAAAUAAACAUGCUGAGAAGCAGAGAUCUGUAGGGACAGGCUGUUCAGCUACCCGAGGAAGGCUGCAGUGACCACAGCAGCUUCAAGUUCACUGAAAACUUGAUUCUAAUUUGCAUCAUGCGAUUUACUGUUACAGAUAGACAAAGUUUCAAUGAUAAUAACUAAAAAUAAGACUUUGAGAAGCAGCAGUUUAUUAAAAAGAAGAUGACAAUAAAAAUGAGCUACAAGGCCAAAACUGGAAGUUUUUAAUAAUUGCUGAGCUGCAGUACUACCAGAUAUAGCAAACAGGUAGGCAAGCUCAGGGAGAACAGACUCAGCAGCAGCCACGACAAAGCAGUUGGAUGUGUAGAUGUUCCCAGGCACCCCAUUGUGAGCACUUAUGUCACUGGGAGGCUAUCUCUAGAAUAUUCAAUGCGUGUAGCAGGAAUAUCAUCAUCUAUUAAGAACAUUCUCUGGUUCUGUAACCUCUGGGUUCUAAGUGUUCAACACUAUACAUUUUUUAAGCAAAUCUGUCAUGUUCUCAGUUCACUUUUGACUGAACUAGCUUUGCUUCACUUGUGGAUAUCUAUGCGUGUGUGUAUGUAUGUACACAUGUAUGUAUAAAAACACUCAUAUUUACUAAAAGAUGGGCAGCAAAAUUCACCAUCCAGACAUGAAACUACCACUCAGAUCAGCAUCCACAUGGGGAUGCCUGUAAUACUGAGGAGCUACACAGAACUCUAAGUAGCCCAGCUAUUGCUACUGUGUUCUAGGGCUCUCAACCAAAAUACUAUUUUCACAUUUGCUGGUAAAUUUCAACUCAGAUGCAACUGAAAGGUGACACUGGUGUUUUUUUCCUCCCCAAAUGUAAUAGUAUUGCCAUAUGAGUAACUAAAAAGGCAUGGCUGCAGAAGUGGGGCAUAAAGCUAACAAAACUUUCUGAAGAGAAGAUCAUUCUGAGAGCACAGACUGCACAAGGUUUUCAAGACUCACAUGCACACUCAGCUUUAAACUUGUGGCUGGGCUCAGGUCAACACAACUCCACAGCUGUGAUCAGAACUGUUUCAGGCCCACCUUCACAUACGUUUCUCACAUAAAGAAAAUAAUCUAGAAGUCAUUUUAAUAUAAAAUGUUUUUAUUUUUGAAAACAUUUAAAAAACAAUUUUUGAGCACUUUCAAUAAAAAAAAUAACUGAAAUGCUACUGCAAUAUUCAACUACUGUAGUUUCAGCAGUACAACAGACAACGAAACACUGCGGGAGAGAGGGAAAACUGGAUUUCCUGCAUUUAAUGAAAAUGUAGUACAGGGAUUUGUUUUUUCCUUAGGGUGCAGUUAAUAAAGCACGGUAUAGUACAAGAUUAUUAUAUGAACCUUGGAUGCACUGCACAAGAAACGCUUUCCUUCUUUUCAGUUCAGAAGUCAGUGCUUAUUGCAAUUAUUUGCAAAUUAUUUACUUCAUGAAUUCUUAUCAUGAUAAAAUGAUGCAAAAAUAUCUUUCAACACCCGAACAAUAAAAAAGAAUCCAAAAAAGGAACAUAUUCAACAAUAACUAAGCUGAAUUAGUUAACAUAAAAAAGUAAGUAACUUGUGAAUAACUAUGCUCACCUGGUUAACACCGAACCAGCUUCAAUACAGCAAAGAAUAAAAAAAAGUGGUUACAGGAAUAUAUCUAGUACUGUACAAGAUUAAGUCAUUAACACUCAUGCACAUUUUGUGAUCAUGUAUUAACAUGGUGAAGCAAACUAAACUUGAUUUUUCCUGCUGUAAUAUUCUCAUUUAAGAGAAUAAGAAAUAGAAAUAUCUCAUUGAGAUCAAUGCACAUUGCUACAUAAGACAAUUUCACCUGUCACUUUUAAUGACAUUUUGCCUUUUAAUGAUGAAACACAUUAGAUUUUUUUCCGUUUUAUUUUUUGUGGGUUUUUUUGUUUAUUUAUUAUUUUAUUUAAAUCUGUUGGCCGUAUUUGUUGCAUUUAUCCUAAGGAACGUGCCUGCCACAGGUUCAACAGAAUAUUAGUGCAAUACAUGAACCCAGAUAGUUUGCUGGACUAACCAACCAAUUUUAAAGUGUUUGCUGCAAUACUGUACACAGUGUACAAGUUCACUAGUUUGUAUAUUUUAGCAAAAACUGCUAUCAAAAGUAUCUAUCGUCUUAUUUGGAAGCCAAUUAUGUAAACAAGGGGUCAGAACUGUCUCAUCUUCUUUGUUCUGGAGUAUCUGACAGACAGGCUUCCAUUUGCUAAGAUAAUGGAAUCUUCCUUUGGGUAUUGCAUACUUUGGUGUGCAGACGUGCUCUGUCUCAACGUAAAGAACUAACAAGCACUAAAUACAGGGACCUCAUAGAAUAUCAGUUAUAACACCAACACAAAAACACUGCUAAAAGGACACAUACCAAUGUACAAAGCCGUGUCUGUGCCUUGGAUUUCACUUGAAAGAACCCUUACCGAAUAGAACACUUCUUCAAUUAAACAUAAAUUUGCUUUAAAUCCACUGAUCACUGAAUAUUCCUGCUAAUCAAAUCACUUGUUAGGUUCAAAGUAAUGCUUGUAUUUAAAACCAUGUAAAAGGUACUUUAAAAACCUUUGGUGACGGCUGCAUAAUUUAGAGAGCAUCAGCUUCAAAUCUACUCUUGUUUUAGUGAGAAAUGUUCUGAAAAACUAGUGAAAAAAGUUAGGUGAGAACUUGUUUACACCAAGCCCACGUCAGUCUCAGCAACACGGGGGCCAGGCCAGCACAUGGUGCAGACUGCCACAGCACAGAUGGAGCUCGAGUUCUCCCCCUCCACACUGGAAAGCAGGGUUCACAUAUUCACCAGCACUUCACACAGGGUCAGAGAAAAGAAGUGCUGAGCGUGUCUCAGACCCAGCCAAGUCAACAAGGCAAGAGGAUGGUGAGCCACACCUCUGGCUAAAGGCCGUGGACAGGCAUGCAACUCAAGCCCAGCCACUGGCAACUUGUGCCUAAAGGAAAAAUGGUUCCAGCCUUACUGUAGACACCUAAAAGAACCCUACUGUGCAGUUUCUAGAUUCCUAACCUCUUCCUUAACUAACUUAAAAGGGUGACUUAAACCACACCAUUGCAUAUCCCUAUGCUUCAAGGAGCAACCCAAACUCUCCACGUCUUUUCCUAAGCAAAAGCAGCAAAAUUUCUGAUGCAAGCACAGUGAACUCACGCUCCCUGUAAGGCGCUACAGUUUGUCACAACAGUUUUGCCCCCGAAGAAGCAGCCACAGACCAGUGGUCGAUCAGGGCAAGAGCAAGAGAAGGCAUGAUACACCAGCACCUGAAGUGACAAUGCAGCAGCACAAUUCAGAUCAGCACCGCCAAAAAAAUUAAUCAGGACUGAGAUCAAGUCCUUAGCAAAAACUGAAGAAACAAAUGACCACUAAGUCACUUUAAAAAACAGAAAUUAAAAACAAUAAUCUGAGCAUCUAUUCCUUAGUAAAUCUAGGGGGGCUUCUUGUGCCUUCCCAUUCAUAAAUUCAUGACCUCUUAUUCAAAGGAGGAAUGCAAGAGAGGAAAAUGUCUUCUGCUCUGCUUUCAGUUUGUCAGUUCACAAGAGAAAUAACCAAUUUUAUACUAAGCUUAAGAGAUGGUACUGUAGCAUUCUCAGAACAACUAUUUCUUAACAGCUUGAUUCUGCAAGUCCUCUUUCUAGCAUCAGGGCCAUGGCUGGUCAAGCACCUCUCUCUUCAUCAUCAGACUCGUGCCAUGCUGAUAAAACAAAAGGCCUUUUUUUUUUUUGGUUUAAGUAAACUGGUGAGUUAGAAGUUUAAAUUCCAUUUUCAAAGGGGGUAGCUAAGGACAUGUAACAAAAAUUCGAUUCAUCAGUCCUCUCAAAUCAUUCAGUGAAAACUGAAUUCAGGCUUCUAAAACCAGCAA